RNAcentral lists this ribosomal RNA (407 nucleotides) under Verrucomicrobiota bacterium. RNAcentral describes it as "Verrucomicrobia bacterium partial 16S ribosomal RNA". It matches the Rfam family "Bacterial small subunit ribosomal RNA", at positions 355 to 776 of the family's 1533-position model. Lineage: Bacteria; Pseudomonadati; Verrucomicrobiota. The record is from RNAcentral.
UGGGGAAUAUUGGACAAUGGAGGGAACUCUGAUCCAGCAAUUCUGUGUGUGUGAAGAAGGUUUUAGGACUGUAAAACACUUUUAGUAGGGAAGAAAAAAAUGACGGUACCUACAGAAGAAGCAACGGCUAAAUACGUGCCAGCAGCCGCGGUAAUACGUAUGUUGCGAGCGUUAUCCGGAAUUAUUGGGCUUAAAGGGCAUCUAGGCGGUAAGACAAGUUGAAGGUGAAAACCUGUGGCUCAACCAUAGGCUUGCCUACAAAACUGUUGAACUAGAGUACUGGAAAGGUGGGUGGAACUACACGAGUAGAGGUGAAAUUCGUAGAUAUGUGUAGGAAUGCCGAUGAUGAAGAUAACUCACUGGACAGAAACUGACGCUGAAGUGCGAAAGCUAGGGGAGCAAACGGG